RNAcentral lists this ribosomal RNA (255 nucleotides) under uncultured bacterium. Its description in RNAcentral is "partial 16S ribosomal RNA". It matches the Rfam family "Bacterial small subunit ribosomal RNA", at positions 524 to 777 of the family's 1533-position model. The record is from RNAcentral.
UACGAAGGGUGCAAACGUUGCUCGGAAUUAUUGGGCGUAAAGCGCACGUAGGCGGCAUUGCAAGUCGGAUGUGAAAUCCCUCGGCUUAACCAAGGAAGUGCAUCCGAAACUGCAGUGCUUGAGUACUUAAGAGGAUCGCGGAAUUCCCGGUGUAGAGGUGAAAUUCGUAGAUAUCGGGAGGAACACCAGUGGCGAAGGCGGCGAUCUGGGAAGAUACUGACGCUGAGGUGCGAAAAGCGUGGGGAGCAAACAGGG